Non-coding RNA from Streptomyces sp. IB2014 011-1, 109 nucleotides. Lineage: Bacteria; Bacillati; Actinomycetota; Actinomycetes; Kitasatosporales; Streptomycetaceae. The record is from Rfam.
GCGUGGGUCGGCUCACUGCACUGGACUCAGUGGGCUGGGGGAUACCGCCGCUCCAUUCCCCGCGGGCGGCGGACCGGUCCGGGAGGUGAGGCCCACCUCCCGGACUGUG